UCGAGAAUCUUCCGCAAUGCGCGCAAGCGUGACGGAGCGACGCCGCGUGGGUGAUGAAGGCCUUCGGGUUGUAAAGCCCUGUUUCCCGCUAAGAACCACAGGCGGUGAAUAGCUGUCCUGUAUGACGUCAGCGGGGGAGGAAGCACCGGCUAAAUACGUGCCAGCAGCCGCGGUAAUACGUAUGGUGCGAACGUUGUUCGGAAUCACUGGGCAUAAAGAGCACGUAGGCGGUCUGGUAAGUCCGACUGUGAAAUCCCCCGGCUUAACCGGGGAACUGCACCGGAUACUGCCGGACUCGAGUACAGGAGGGGAGAGUGGAAUUCCUGGUGGAGCGGUGAAAUGCGUAGAUAUCAGGAGGAACGCCGGUGGCGAAAGCGACUCUCUGGCCUGCUACUGACGCUGAGGUGCGAAAGCCAGGGGAGCAAACGGGAUUAGAUACCCCCGUAGUCC
This 450-nucleotide ribosomal RNA is filed under the name uncultured prokaryote. Its description in RNAcentral is "bacterial SSU rRNA". It matches the Rfam family "Bacterial small subunit ribosomal RNA", at positions 355 to 796 of the family's 1533-position model. The record is from RNAcentral.